GGUUCUUUUGCAGCUCCGUGCUAAGAGUUAUAAAAUAUUGGUUUAAUGUUCGAAUAUUAGACAAUGCAUGUAAGAGAUUGCACACAGUGGGCUUUGGUUCAUUUUUGGAGUGUUUUCUGUAUAUAUUUCUUGGAAUUUUCCUACUUUUAUUUCCGUUUGCACUAAUAUUCUAAUGUGCGCCAUUUUCCCAUGUGCUCUUAACUGCGUGAAAUGUUUUCUUGAGUAGACGGAGCUGCAUCCCAGCUGAAAAGACUCACUAUUCUCUCCUUUUUACAGCUCUGUGUGCAGGGAAUUGUUUAUAGCCUUUCCUGUGUUUUGAAAAUGUUUAUUGCAAACUGUUAUGCUGUAUUAAUGUUCUAAUAAUUUUAUUUAUAUUCAUAAUUAAUGUUAAAUGCACUAUACGAUCACAUUUCAAUUUAAGACAAUUCAGAAUUUUGAUUUAUUUUUGUCUUGUUAAAUACAACACUAAGUAAAUUGUUUGUUAUAUUGAGAGCAGAGUUAGAGAGAACUGCUGUGGAUGGAGCUGCAUCCCAGCUGAAAAGACUCAUUAUUCUCUCCUUUUUACUGCUCUGUGUGCAGAAAAUAAAUGGUAAUAUCAUCCACAUUGAGUGUGUGUGCUGUUGAGGAGUGGAUCAGACUGGGCCAGGUUAGACCAAAGGUCACAUUAGGACAUCAGUGAUGUGUGUUCUGAGUUUGGUGACAGUACAGUGUAUUACAGUAAAGUUAUUGACUGUUUUUUGUAUUCGCUUUUCGGGGUUUGCACUUUGCAGAUGGUCCCUUGGAAUCUGUCUCUUCGGUGUUCGCACUUAGAGAAUUAUGUAUUUUGUCCAACGCGGAGGAAAGCUUAUAUUGAGGAAAAUUUGGUUUUAGCUGCCUCUCUAUAUUACUACGAUAAAAAUGAGGUGUUAUUCGUGUAGUAACACCCUUUAGCUCAGGAGCUAUUGACUCGGGAAAAUCGAAUCUGUGAAUAUGAGGCCAACUUUACUUAAGUCUCUUCUACUAGUGCUAACAACUUGUACUCGUUCUUAGAAUCAGCUGUUUAUCUAAUCAAAUUAUUGUACUCUCGAUCAGAUCUAAUACAAACAACUACAUUUGCUUUUGUUAGCACGCUUUGUAGACACCCCACCCCCCGCAAAAAAGACUAACGAAAUAACAAUGCCUUCACAAAAAAGAAGACAGAGAGAGAGAGCGAAGGGAGGCUGCUAAAGGCAGUUCAACACUGCAGACAUGGAUUAAAAGCUUCAGCAAGCCAGCAGAUGAGGCAGAGGCAGGCUCAGAGAGUGAGAGAGCCCAUUGAGUAUCAGCCAAAUCAGACACUUACAGAUGAAACUUGGAACUGAGCCAGAGACAGAAAAUGUACAGAAUGUGAAAGAAAGGCAAUACAAUGAGACAGAGAGGGAAGAGACAGACGCAGAACAGGAAGAAAUGGAGAGUGAGGCAGUCACAGCCAUGUACACAAGGGAGAAAAAGCAAGAAGACUGAGUUUUUGCUUCACUUACAAAAUCCAUCAGAUCCUGCUCAUGUAAAGAAAUACAAUAUAACAUACAAUGUGGCCUUCACAAAAUAUUCUUCUCUGAUCUUCUGCUCAUGGCCAUUGAAAAAAGACAUCCCAAUCAUAAAAGAUCUUUCAGGACAUGGUACCAAAUAAAAAAGUGUUGCUGUAAAUGGAACAGGUAAAUAUAAAAAUUGUAAAACAGCAAAUAGUUUCUGUUAUCAGCAAUGUGUAAUUGUUAUGUUCUAUCAAAACAUCUACAAUAAAGUCUAAAAUGUAUUUGAGCGUGUGCUAUCUUCUCGUUUAAUUGUACAUUUUGUAAUAACUGGAUAAUUUGUGUUAACAAGCAACCACCCCUUUACUGCCCCUUUUUUUGGUUUAGGCCACUGCCCCUCAAAAUGUCUGUGCACGGCCCUGUCCUCCACACUCAUUACACAUUCCAGUGAAAUC
This is a long non-coding RNA of Tachysurus fulvidraco (yellow catfish), 1942 nucleotides long. RefSeq lists it as uncharacterized. Lineage: Eukaryota; Metazoa; Chordata; Actinopteri; Siluriformes; Bagridae. The record is from RefSeq and is a predicted model, not a curated record. The transcript is spliced from 3 exons.